This 520-nucleotide unclassified non-coding RNA is filed under the name Melitaea cinxia (Glanville fritillary). RNAcentral's name for it is "misc RNA ENSMCXG00005009880.1". The record is from RNAcentral. Lineage: Eukaryota; Metazoa; Arthropoda; Insecta; Lepidoptera; Nymphalidae.
UUAACCCUUAAGCAGGCCACGGACGUAUGCGUCCCACAUAGAUUUUUCGAUGCUGUAGCCAGGUUUUGGUAAUGAAGAGCCCACAAUCUGUCAAAAUUUAAUCGUAAAUACAUACUCUAUGGUUUCGAAUUUGCAAACUCUGUGUAUCCGAACGAAUGUGACACUGACAGUCAUUCGAGUUUCGUCGGUCCGUUAAAGAGGUGUUUUUGAGUGACUGUGGUAGUUUUAUUCAGAUUAUGGCGAAACAAAGAAAGCGACUGCAACCGCUUAGAGAUAAACAAAUAGAAGAUAUUCUGGAAGAUCGGGACUCAUCAUCAGAAGAAGAUGAAGAACUUGCAGCUUUCAUAUGCUUGCAGAUCUCGAUCUUAGCCCAGAUCUCAUUCUGGGGAUUAAAACUAUUUCAUAAUAAAUAACAUUAAUAAUAAAUAAGUGAUUCAUAAUAAAAAUAAUUUGUUUUACUUACCACAAAAUAGCCUCUACCUGAAUUUAAAAAAAUAAAUAUAAUUGUUUUUAAAACAAA